Poecilia latipinna (sailfin molly) is the source of this 112-nucleotide long non-coding RNA. RefSeq lists it as uncharacterized. The record is from RefSeq and is a predicted model, not a curated record. NCBI's taxonomy places the organism in Eukaryota, Metazoa, Chordata, Actinopteri, Cyprinodontiformes, Poeciliidae. The transcript is spliced from 5 exons.
CGUUAACUAGCAACCCAAAUCCAACGCCACGCCGUUACCUAGCAACCACAGUCAAGCCCAGCCCGUCUCCUAGCAACCGAGUUCUAGUUCCGCUGGCACACUGUUUCACUUG